AAGAGGAGGGCUGGUCCUGCCCGGAGGAAGGGAGACUGCGAGGCAGGCAGCAGAACAGACACCUGCUCUGGGUCUCUGUGUCCUAGUCGGCAUGGGAACUCUGCGUUACGGGCCUCAUUAACCCACGGUAAGGACGCGGCCCAAGCAUAACGUGAUGCAGCAGCUGGAGGCGGCUCUAAUGACCGUGGAGGAGCUGCAAACCAAGCGUCACUGAUUCUUUGCAGCUAAGAAAGACGGCAGCUGUUUCCCCAGAAGCUCUGCCACCAACAGACACCAGGCGUCCCCACCAAGACCGCACACUUGGAACACUGCCGAAUCCUGUGCGCCUUCCCGGCGAUUCCUGGAAACUCAGCUCGGAGGCGGGACUUCUGGGGGACCCUGCCACCCCUGACUCUGCCCCCACAGGCCUCCCUCCCUGCCCCUCUAGCUGCAGCCCCUCAGGACUGCAGGCGACACCCCUCUGCCUCCCUGCAGAAUCCACACUGUCGGGUCGAACCAGACUGAGCAUCUCCCAGCCCAGGCUCCCCGGGGCACCCAGCCCUGCCCCUGACACACGUCCUAAGAGCCAAGCACUUUCCAUGUGCCCUCAACAAAGAGAGUACAGAAGCUCGGAGAGGUCAGGUUACUGCCCGAAGAUCACCCAGCUAGAAGGUAGUGGAGAAAAGGUACAACCAAGAGUCUCUGAUUUCUCAGCUCAUUCGUGUUUGUUCUCAGUGUGAGUCAAAGGGGGCUUCCACCCAAGGUCUUUCCUUACUGAAGAUGCUUCCAGAUCUUUCCAAGGAGAGCUCAGUGCAUACGCAUUUCUCUUCCCUUCUCUCUGUGCAGUGUGAUCCAUUUUCCUCAUUAUGUCUUAGCCUAUUAAUAACCACCCAUUUGUCUUAAUUCAAUAAAAAGAUGAUUGAU
RNAcentral lists this long non-coding RNA (903 nucleotides) under Bos indicus x Bos taurus (hybrid cattle). RNAcentral's name for it is "lncRNA (ENSBIXG00005009009.1)". The record is from RNAcentral. Lineage: Eukaryota; Metazoa; Chordata; Mammalia; Artiodactyla; Bovidae.